UAGGAAUGUUAAUUUCCAGUUUAGCUGUAAGUGUAUUUACCUACAGGUUCUAAUUAUCUUGGCUUAUCAACCCAUAGAGUAGCUUCCAACUUUGACCAUGGGCUUGUCUCAUUACUAUGGCUACACGAGGCAGUCAUGAGACUAUGUCUGACCCUGGUUGCCUUCCUCUGAUCAUGGCCUGUGGAUUAACUUCCUGCUAUCUUGUACCUGCUUCACUGCAAACUAUUUACCUGAAGGUUUGGGCUCUUCAGCCCUGGCCAGUGAGGCCAUUGUCCUGCCACCUGUGUUCUGCUCAGCUCCCUUUCUCCCAGGGAGCAGCUGGCCCUCCACUGCUCCUUAGCACUAUGGUGACUUCUCCAGAAGCAACAGACAGCACAUAGAACUGCAGGAUGAAAACAUAUACUAAUCACCUUCUUGUUAAAUGACUGAUACAUAUCCGGUGCUAUGAUGAAAGAAGGGCUGCCAGGACAUUAGGAGAAGGCUGUUGCUAUCACCGUUGCAACUAACUCAACCCCCUUCUGGUAUCUUCUCUUAAUAUAAGCCUUCUGGAAGAGGCUGAAGCCUACAGGAAUUGCAAGCUGCUCCAGCAUGCCCUCCUCCAUGAGCCAUCAUGAUGGACCCGUUCUAUGCGAUGGAUUGUUCUACAUGAAUACUGUGUGCAAGAUGAGCUGGUUGCUCAAGGAACAUAAAACCUCUGCACGUGCAAGUUGUUUGUCUAACUUACUGUGUGAUGAAGGAUGGGUCAGUCUGACCAGUGAGAGAGGCAGGGUCCCGUGAUUUUGAACUGUGGUAUCCUGUGAUGCUGAGCUCUGACAGAAGAUGGAGGCAGGCUGCAGAAAAUUCCUAAACUCUGUAAGGUAGGUGCUCAUUCUCCUUACAGUAACUGUCUGUGCACUGAGAAAGAAACAUGAUAACUGAAGUAACUCAUGCUCAUGCACCGUUCUAAUGUGGAAGAACAAUGGGGCUACUUAGAAUUAAGCCUUACUAGCUUCAGACUCAGAAUGAAGUUACUACAGAUCAGCUGCAUGGUUAUAUAUUGCUUUAAGAUUCUUUAAGAUUUAAUUCAGUUGAAUGAUCAUAUUCUCUUGUUCAGAAGAUAAUCCGAUAUUUCUGUCAUGUCCAAAAUGAAGCUUCAGAAGGAAUAUGGAAAGCUUAAUGUGCUAGUUUCCAUGGUAGAGCUGUAAGCAUUCCAUGCUAGAAAACAUGGGGUGCACCUGAAAACAGUAUUUAGUCUUAAGUCCAAGUGUAAAGAAUGGCUGUCACAUACAAAUGAAGUACUCCCCAACUGGAUUUGCUGAGAUAGUACUAAAACCAAAACAAAUAAGAGAACAAGCAACUAUUCCCAUAGAUGCAGUGAGCAGUCAAUAAUGCUAAUUUGUACACUUGCUACUGAUGCAACUUCACAGCAUUUAGAAAAAACUUCAUGAGUAAUGCCAGUAUCACUGCAGACUUCAGAAAAACUAAUUUGCAAUGUCUAGAUCCACUUUUCAAACAAAAACUCUUGAGUAUUUAUUCAAAUAGCAACUUCAUGCUACAUUUUCAACAAAUGAUAUUUGCCUUACAAAUUUUCAACUUUCUAGGAAUGGAGCUCUGGGAUUCCUUGGUGUUGUAGCUUGGCUGCACACCUGUACUGAGUACGCAAAGAAAAUUCUUACUCAGGGCUUUUUUUACGCACCAACCAUUAAGAUUACUGGAAAAGUGUGUCCUUGGUAUGUGCCUUUCUCUCCUGUAUAUCCAAGGUUCUUACAUAGUUCUUUUGGUUUUCCUUCUCUACUCCCUCCCCCAUGUCUCACUCCAUUCCUCAGGAUAUCAGCUUAGAUUACUGACAGCAGCAUGAGGAGGGGAUGGGAGACUUACAGGCACCUGGGAUUUCCUAAAGGGAAAUCUUUGGCAAAUGUCUUUUUAUUAUUUAUUUCCUUAUUUUUAAUUCCACCCCUCUCAAGCUGUCAUUUCUUAGCAGUGAAAAUGAAAAGCUGCCAUUUAUGUGUGCACAACAAUGGAGGCCUCUGCAGGCCACAUGGCUCCUGCAGUUUAAUUUACUUUAAUUCAUUUUAUAUUGAACCAAAUGAUCUUAUUUGCUGUUUUUGAUGGAGAGCCUUCAACAUGCAGGGUGGGAGCCAAGCCCCUCUACCAAAGAAAUUAUGAGCCCAGCUGCUAUUAAGACUUGUACCCAGCUUUGAAGGGUAUGCUGAAGCUCAUGGGGGAGGAAGGGACAUCUUUAGCCACAGGCAUGCUCCUUCUCCCACAGUCUCCCUCUGACUGCAAAGGUACAAGAUCACACUGAUUUGGGUUGCCUUCCUUUUUCUGCUGCUUUUCUCCCCCAAUGCACAAGCCGCUCUUUCCCUGCCUUCCAUCCUGAUUGCAGUCUCAGAUUCUCUUGGCACCUCUGUUUUUCCAGGCUAGUUUAGAACCUAAGAAACUCUGGGAUUUUCUUAAAUUUUUGAUCUUCCCUCAUUCGUUGGUUGGGCUGCCUGCAAAGAUAUUCCAUUUCUGAGCUAUUCAAGCUUGGAGAACUAUGGGUAGACAUAGCAGUCUUCAUGCUUCAUAUUCCAGCACUGAGUAUAAUUUUGGUUCCUGACAACCAUUUUUUGGCCCCAAACGACGUGUACUGCUGCCUGUAUUCAGACUGAAAAAGCAAAUCAAAGACAUUCUACCUUUUAAUAUUAGCUUGCUUUUUUCUCAGUUACAGCAUCAGAUCAGGCUUUAGUAAACCUCACUUCCAUUGCUGAUGGGAAGCCUCUUUGCUUUUUCCUUUUAAAUGUGUACUGGAUACAAGAUGGCUCUUGAUGUGAUGGGGCCAUACUAAAAGUACAUGACACCGGUACUUCAGUCUGGGAGAACUGAGUGUGCUAGCCCACGUUUUUCAUGUGUUCACUGUCAAAAUGAAAAAAGGCAUCUGAGCUAAGUGGAGUUCCAUGCUACUCACUAUUUUCAUGAAUGACCUUAAGCCUACUCUGUUCCAUCAUUAUUAAAUGUGCAGUUCACAGUGAAGUAGGAAACACAUUGAGAAGAAGAAUUAUAAUUCAAAAAUCAUCUUGACAGACUAGAGAAAUGGUCUGGAAAACCUGAGGGUGCAAUUAAAGAAACACCAAAGACAGCCCAGCAGAGAACAAUAAUAAAAUCAAAGUUCUGGAAUGAAUGAGUAUCUGAGAAAAGACUCAUUUGGGUUUGUUUCUUCUACACAGAAGACUGGAUAUAUGAAGGCUUCAAUGUUUAAAAGAAAGAAUCUGAUCUUGCUUCAAUCACAAUGGAUAUGGUGAGUUAUGAGCUAUAAGAGAAGGCCAUUCUGAGGUGACGCUUCACACUAGAAAGACUACACAAGCAUCAGUGAAAGCCAUGUAAUAGAGAAGACUAGAAUCUCAAGUAGCAGUAUGAAAAUCCAGACUAGCUUUGGAAGUGCCUUUGAACUUCCCAAACAAGGAAUAUCUUGGCCUACUCAGAGUUGAUCAGAGACCCUGAUAUCCCAGCCAUUGGCAAGUUUUAUCAUCUACUGCCAGCAAGAAGGUACUGCAAGGAAAUUCAAGAUUAAAUACCCCUAAGCCCUUCACAGCUGUGAAGAACUCUGUCCCUGGCAGAGCACCAGGCUCCUCUUCAGGACCUGUAUUAUAAGGAGCUAGAGGUUGCUGUUCCAACUAGUUUUAUCCACAGGAAAAACAACAACAAAAAUAUUUCCUGGAAAAAAAAAAACUUAUAUCUCUACCCUACAAAUUAAAUUUAUUUCUCCAAAAGCUUGUUACCUGCUAUGAUUAAGCAACAGGCACCCAGAAAUUCAAAAGCUACAGACAAGGCUUCAAGCAGAAAUGCUACUACAAGUAUUUGGG
Anas platyrhynchos (mallard) is the source of this 3821-nucleotide non-coding RNA. Lineage: Eukaryota; Metazoa; Chordata; Aves; Anseriformes; Anatidae. The record is from RefSeq and is a predicted model, not a curated record.